AUGGGCAUAGAGCUUUAGAUGCCUAUGUCAAGCAGAAUUCCCAAAAGGAACCUGAGGGAACAUAUUCAUGCUGGGAAAACUUUUUUUCUGUUUAUGUGACUUUACACUCUUUCCCAGGUAACAUAGACUGGACAGUCUCUUGAGAUUGUAGAAAGGCCUGUUCUCCUAGAGAAGACAAAUGCUUCUAUGAUCAUCUUUGGAACCAAAGAGAAGCUCUUAACAUGUGGCAUCUUCCUCUUGUCGAUGGCUACCAUUUGAUAAGAUCUCAUACGGAAUGUAGUGAGUGUCAAGAGUAUGUUGGGCAAUCUGUGAUGAGCAGGAAGACAAAUGAGGACUUCAUUCCCUACACUGCAUUAACUAAGGAGGUAGAAGACUGGAUUCAGAAGAAGAGUUACUAAGAAGAACAAAACAUGUGAUUCUGCUAUUGAAUAUGAAGCUGGCCAAAGAAAAAUGCAGUGCUAUAAUCUUCAUGCCUUCCUUUAAAACCAAAGAAGUUUGUAUUUUGUGGCCAAUAAGGAACUGGAGCUAACACUCUCACCGACUUCCCUGGGAAUCAUCUCCUCCCCCCAGGGUUCUGUGUUCUCAUAAAUACUUGCCUCUGCAGCAAGAGCCAGAGAAGAGAAGUGCGCACAGCACCUCACCCUCCAGCGGACACUGGUAACUGGAGGCAUACCGUCGGCGGUAACAGGACCUCAGACAGACUCGGCUAGAGGUGUUACCGUACAGCGGUCUGAACUUUGGGAAGGCAAAUCCCACAGAAUGCAUCCACACUGCCACCAGACUUCUGCUGCAGAGAAGGAAGCUGCAGGAUGAAUAUAGUUUGCUUCACACCCACAAAAGGAGACUGCCGUUCCUUUAGUCUCUGCUCUUCCUUCACUCGUGCUUUGCUCUCUCCUGCUAGCGCUCAGUGGGUUGGCCAGCUUGUUGGGAGGCCUGACUUUGGCAGCCACCCAAACCCAGUCCUCCCAGCAGUAACAUAUGCUCUGUCUGCCUGGGAAGAUUUGGUAGACAAUGGCUGCAGUGAUGGUACAAAAAUGGAAAGAGCUGCUGUGAAGGCCCUUAACUCCGUCCUGUAAAAGAGAAGCUGGAGGUGUCCAGAAGAGGACUUGUGCAAGGGGGACUCACUUCCUAAACCUCGGGUCUGGACUGAGCUAGGCACCGUUCACUUUCCAGGCGUGCACAGAGUGACAGGGUACUUUUCCUGUGACUUACUAAUCCAGCUUGGGAACAAAACAAGGGAGGAUGCUACCACACUUCCCACAAACACAGCGGUGUUCACACCUUUUGCUCAUUCUGUAAAAGAGUCCCAACAGAGCUCUCAGGUCCUGGGGAAGCCUGAUGAGAGAUGUCGUUCCAGACCCGCAGACAGAGAAGUCGCCCCUUGGAGAGGAAGAGGAGGAAGAGUUCUCGCAGGCUUUUGAAUAAAACAUCAGGGAAUGCAAUAAACACGCCCAGGGACUCCUCCAGAUGUCCUAGCGUUGGGCAGGGAAGCAGAGUCUUCACCAGCUCUGGGCUCUUCCAAGACAGACUGGCAGGAUUAAGUGCCAAGAGUCCAAAUGAAUUUGGUCUGCACAUUUCAAGAAGCACUUAUGUUUUCUGGCAUUGCUAGUGUGGAAACAAAGAAAUGACAAGGAUUGUGUGGAGGUAAGAGAUCGUCAGAUGAAAAAUGAUUUCGUCAACACGUAAGCCUGCAAGGGACUGCCUAAUCCACCCGCCUGCACAGAAGCAGCAUCAGGUGUAGUUGCACUAUCCUACAAUUUUUAUUUUUGAAGAUCUUCUCUGCAAACUACCUAAGGAGUCUGUUCUCCUGCCCUUUUAACUAGAAAAACAACUAUUUUAUGUCCAACCAGCAAAAGUCCCCCUGUCUUAGAAAUAAUGGAAUGUAAUGUCACUGUGGAGUAAAAUUAUUUGAAGUCUUUGGAAUUUAUGUAUUCAGUUGUUAAAAACUGCAUGUCUAAUCCUCGGAAAUAGUAGAUGAGUGCUUGAUAAAUUUAAAUAAGUCAAUAACAAAUAUUAAUAGGAAACAGUAAGAACUGAUUUUACCCCCAAAUGCAUGCUAUACAGUGCUGCAGAUAUAAAUGCAGUGUAAUAUUUUAGUUAUGUCAGUUUUUAGGUGCACAGCUCGCAGCUUUUACUCUUCACUGGUAGGACCGAGCAGAGAUGGAAGCCCCAAAACAAAGGAAAGAACAUGUGCCCCUGCAAGAUCAGUUUCUGUUCAUGUCCUUGCCACAGACAUCCUUUCUGGCCUGAGACACUAUUAAUUCUUUUUAUUCUUUGAAAAAGCAAUACUACAGCUAAAUAUUUAUUGAAACCACAGUUUCUUGUCAGAUACAGCUGUAUUUUUAUUGAACACAUUUGAAGAACUUUUGUUCCUUGUAAUAUUUUUAUUUGUAAACUGUAUGACUGUUUUGUAAACAGUCAUAAGUUUACAUCAUAAGUAAAAGAUCACUUCUGCCUACCGCUACCAUGGGACAUAUUCUCCCCACUACUGCAAGAUAAUUAACAAAAUAUAUAUGCUUAGUGCUAAGAUUCUCUUGACAGUGAUAGCCCCUUAGCUGCUAGAUCUGCUAUCCCAUCCAUCACUAACAUCAGGCAAAGCAAGCAUUAGUUUCUCUGUGACUUAUCUAGGUCUUUAGUAGAUCAAUAGCACUGCUCAAAUGUUGCAGACUCUUCCCUAUUAAUUCACAUUUAUCUUUUCACCUGAAGAAGGCAAAUUACCUCACAGAGAAGCUGUGUUAUCCCCAAUAGUGGUUUAUAAUGUUGCAAAGUCAGCGUGACCCACAUAUCUUAUCUCAGCUGGAAUGCAUUUGUCACUGUCACAUGUUAUGAUCAUCUGGUAAAACACCCUAGAAAAAGAGGUAAACCUGCAAAAUGGCUUCACCAUUUUCAUUUAAUAACCUUUUUGGUGUGUGCUUGUGCAUCACCUUAAAUUUAAACCUCUAAAAUAAAGGGAACCUUCUUUUUCCCUUUAAUGUUCCAUUUCAUCAUUUUUUUUUCAUUAGCAAAAUUCUCAUUCCUCAGCAAUCUCCAUUUCUGCUAUGAGUUCAUCAGUACGUGGUGAUAUGGAGACUGAGAACUGAAUUAUUUAUUAAUAUGCUUUGUUAACUCUGAGAAAGGACUGCUGAGUUUUACUAUGUUUAUGGUUGCUUACAUUUCUACAGUGGGCUGCUGGUUACCUGAACCUUUUCAGGCUUUGGGAGUGUUUAAUGUUUUGUUAGGAGGAGGCAUGAGAAUGACCGUAACCUAUAAUCAGGCUGCUGCAAGAAGAAAUACUGAAAGAAACAAGAGUCUGAUGCUGAUUAUGUAGUUGGUGCUCUUUCCUUUCAAAACUAUAGUAAGGCAGACAUUUUGUUAUCUUUUAUUCUAAAAACUUCAUUAAUUUGUGUAAUGGAAAGAAGACUUGCCUAUAAACACACUUGGCUUUAAGAAGUCUGACCUAGCUGGAUGCAACAAUAGUACGUUUUUAUUCUGUGCAUUCAUAUCUAUUGAGCAAAUGACUGAGCUCAAGUCAGAGACUGAACUCUAUUCCUUAAGUGUUAAAUUCUUAGGUCUGUAAUUGCGAAAUCAGUUGGUGCAAUCAAGGAUGUCUGCUUUUUGACGUAAGGAAAAGGUAGGUUCACUUUCAACGUAACGGAGGAUUUCUUUCCACGCGAGAACCUCCCACGGGGGCCGCUGCCGGGAGCAGCCAGAGCACUGCGCUUGCUCGCACGGCGCAGGCAGGAGGAGCGGCGAAAGCAGGCACUUCCCGCACCCAGCAAAGACCAUCCUGGUGAAAACAACUGGAUGUUCUCGGACAGAAAUGUUUGCUCGGGCGCAGGGGCACUACCCGGGUGCUUCCUGUGACAGUUUGCUGCUGUUAUUAACUACACUCUGCCCCCACAUUUCCAGGGCACAGAGCUGUUGAGCCUCCUGAACUCCGUAGAAACUCACUGCUUGUAUUUCUGUGACAUUUCUUGCACAGAGAAUUAAGAAGCACCGUUAAGGGAAGGGCGUGAGCUCGCUGGGCCUGGGCUGAGCGUUAGCACCAAGAAGGGCUGGAGGGUCCCUUCUGGGGGGGGCAGAGGCUCCUGCCCCUCAGCCAGAUGUGCUCUCACAGGAGGUUUGUGGUGUGCUGGCGACCCGGUUCAGUGCUAUAAAACCUGCUGAGGCUCCUCCAGCCCUCAGUCCGUUACCGUUUGUUGCUCUCCCAUGUGGGCACCGCCAAGGGAGACCCAGAGCAAAUCGAGAGUGACUGGAUACGUGAAACCUGACUCAGGAUCACAGGGUAGCAGUAAAUGGUUCAUACUUUGCCUGGAGGGUGAUAACAACAAGAGUUUCUUGGGGGUCUGUCCUGGCACCUGUCCUGUGUAAUGUCUCUAGGAAUGAGCUGGAGGAGGAGACAGAGUUGCACCUCAGCAAGUUUACAGACAACACCGAAUGGGCGCAUGCAGUUCGUAACGCUCGAGGGCAGGGCUGCUACCCAGCGGCACCUGGGCAGGCUGGAGGUGUGGGCCAGCAGGGACCUCAUGAAAUUCAACCCUCGCCAGCACCGUCCUGCACCGGGGGUGGACUAACCCCCUGCAACGAGGGACUGGCUGUGCCCCGCCUGCCAGGCUGGGCCGGCCUGGUGGGGAGCAGCUCUGCCAAAAAGGCCGUGGGGGUUGUGGCUCGUGAGCCGGCCGUGUGUCCCGGCAGCAGUGGGGCCAACAGCAUCGGUGCUGUGUGCGCAGGAGCACAGCCCCUCCAUCGAGGGGAGUCAUUACUCCUCUUCACUUGCUACUUGUUAGACUGUAUCCAGAAUAUGGCAUCCAAUUUUGGACCAGUCCAAUGUAAGAAAGAUGCUGAUGAACUGGAGCAAGUUCAGCAUGAGGUCAGGGGCUGGAGCACAGGCUCGCUGAGGAGAGGCUGAGGGUACGGGGCUUGCUCAGCCUCGAGACGGGGAGGUGUUGGGCACCCAACAGCAGCCCCCAGUGUCUACAGGGAUGUUACCAAGACCACAGGGCCAGGUUUUUUGCUGAGAUUUGUGGUGGGAGCAGGAGAGACAACAGUCACAAAUUGACGCAGGGGAGGUUCUGAUGGGAUAUAAGGGGAAAAAGUAAAUCCCUAUGAGGACAGUGGAGUGUUGGGACAGGAGCCAGGAGGUUGUGUGAUCUCCAUCCCUGCAGGUUUUCAAGACCUGACUGGGCAAAGCCUGGAGCAGCCUGGUGGGUCUCAAGACCACUUGUAUCUGAAGCAGGGAGAAAUGAUUGUUCUCUGUGCUUAAGUAUUUAAUUUAUUGAAGGAAGCAAGGAUGGAUAAAUGGGUGUUUCUGUAGGGUUUCUGGCGUAUUUUCCUUUCCUUGUUCCCUACACCAGGUGACUGUACAUGCUGAAAGGUUACUUACCUUUCUUUGGAAAUCUGCAUGCAUAGUAAAUUUGCUGUAUUGUCCCUGUGGUUUAAUUUAUGUUGAGGAAAGCUAUCAGGGCAUUAAAGGUAAGAGUUUCUGAACACAAACUGCCAUAAGGUAUGAGGAUAAAAGAAUUCUCCAGUUGCAUUAUUUUGUUCUUUGUAUUAUAAACACACUGCAGCAAAUCAGAAAUGUAUGGGAAAUAAAAGAAUAAUGAGGCACUGAGGACUGGAAACCUGGAAAUAUUUUCCCAUUGGGAUCUUACUGGAAAUUACUGCUGUGUUCUGUCCCUUCUGUGAAAGAAACACUAUUCACAUGUACUGCGCUAACAUGCAAAUAUAAGCCACUUCUUAAUUUUAAAAGUGCUUUGUGAACUGA
Long non-coding RNA from Dromaius novaehollandiae (emu), 5743 nucleotides. RefSeq lists it as uncharacterized. The record is from RefSeq and is a predicted model, not a curated record. The transcript has 12 exons. Lineage: Eukaryota; Metazoa; Chordata; Aves; Casuariiformes; Dromaiidae.